ACGAACGCUGGCGGCGUGCUUAACACAUGCAAGUCGAACGGUGAAGCGCCUUCCUUUUUGGUGGGUGUGGAUGAGUGGCGAACGGGUGAGUAACACGUGAGUAACCUGCCCCCUUCUUCUGGAUAACCGCAUGAAAGUGUGGCUAAUACGGGAUAUUCUGGGUCUGUCGCAUGAUGGGUCUGGGAAAGAUAUUGUUUCGGUGGGGGAUGGGCUCGCGGCCUAUCAGCUUGUUGGUGGGGUGAUGGCCUACCAAGGCGGUGACGGGUAGCCGGCCUGAGAGGGUGGACGGUCACACUGGGACUGAGACACGGCCCAGACUCCUACGGGAGGCAGCAGUGGGGAAUAUUGCACGGUGGGCGCAAGCCUGAUGCAGCGACGCCGCGUGAGGGAUGGAGGCCUUCGGGUUGUGAACCUCUUUCGCCAGUGAAGCAGGGCUGCCUCGUUUGUGGGUGGGUUGACGGUAGCUGGAUAAGAAGCGCCGGCUAACUACGUG
This 493-nucleotide ribosomal RNA is filed under the name uncultured bacterium. RNAcentral describes it as "partial 16S ribosomal RNA". It matches the Rfam family "Bacterial small subunit ribosomal RNA", at positions 29 to 507 of the family's 1533-position model. The record is from RNAcentral.